RNAcentral lists this unclassified non-coding RNA (231 nucleotides) under Hevea brasiliensis (rubber tree). The record is from RNAcentral. Lineage: Eukaryota; Viridiplantae; Streptophyta; Magnoliopsida; Malpighiales; Euphorbiaceae.
CAAAAUUUCCAUCUGAUGAUUCGUGCCCUCAAGUUCACCUUUGACCAUGGUGGAGACACUGGUGAAGAUAUCAUUCAAUGAUUCAGCAAGCUCAUCCUUAACCUCCACUUCCUCCUCCUUUCCAGCAGCCAUGUUUAGGUGCCAAGAUCUGUUUUAAAAACGAAAAAAAACUUCUCUCGGCUUGCAGUGCAAUCGCCAGCAAGGGAUUGUUGUUGAGGUUCUUCAAACGCU